GAUCUUCUCCUUCAUGGGAGAUGAUUGAAAGAUGGUUUCGGCUAUCACUUACAGAUGGGCCCGCGGUGCAUUAGCUAGUUGGUGAGGUAACGGCUCACCAAGGCAACGAUGCAUAGCCGACCUGAGAGGGUGAUCGGCCACACUGGGACUGAGACACGGCCCAGACUCCUACGGGAGGCAGCAGUAGGGAAUCUUCCGCAAUGGACGAAAGUCUGACGGAGCAACGCCGCGUGAGUGAUGAAGGCUUUCGGGUCGUAAAACUCUGUUGUUAGGGAAGAACAAGUACAAGAGUAACUGCUUGUACCUUGACGGUACCUAACCAGAAAGCCACGGCUAACUACGUGCCAGCAGCCGCGGUAAUACGUAGGUGGCAAGCGUUAUCCGGAAUUAUUGGGCGUAAAGCGCGCGCAGGCGGUUUCUUAAGUCUGAUGUGAAAGCCCACGGCUCAACCGUGGAGGGUCAUUGGAAACUGGGGAACUUGAGUGCAGAAGAGAAAAGCGGAAUUCCACGUGUAGCGGUGAAAUGCGUAGAGAUGUGGAGGAACACCAGUGGCGAAAGGCGGCUUUUUGGUCUGUAACUGACGCU
This 585-nucleotide ribosomal RNA is filed under the name Priestia megaterium. RNAcentral describes it as "bacterial SSU rRNA". It matches the Rfam family "Bacterial small subunit ribosomal RNA", at positions 173 to 747 of the family's 1533-position model. Lineage: Bacteria; Bacillati; Bacillota; Bacilli; Caryophanales; Bacillaceae. The record is from RNAcentral.